Molecule: long non-coding RNA, 1294 nt
Organism: Oxyura jamaicensis (ruddy duck)
Lineage: Eukaryota; Metazoa; Chordata; Aves; Anseriformes; Anatidae
Exons: 3
Source: RefSeq, a predicted model, not a curated record
CAAAGUGCUGUUGUUUCAGCUGGAGGUCUGUGAUCCUUCCUGAAAUAGCCAACAUCAACACCAUGACCAGUUUUUAUUCUUGGCAAUGAAUGAGAAAAUACUAUUUGGCAUCUCAAAGAAUUUCUCAGCUGCCUUUCUGUCAUCCCUGAGUCCAAAUUACAACUGUCAAUUAUACAUGAAAGACACGGUGUCCUCUUCCUUGCUCUUCCUCAGAUGACAAUCACAUUGGCAUAUUGCUCGCCCCUCCAACCAGAAGACCAGCAAGUGUUUUUUCUCUCCUGUGAUCUCCCAGAGGCUCCCAGUGGAGCAGUCCAGAGAAACACCAAGAUGGAAACAACUGUCUGAGUUGCCUCUAUCCACAAAAAGCUUCCAUCCUUGUGCUUGUCAAUAGUUAUCUUUUGUCUUUGCAUGUUGCCCAUGCUAUUCCUGGCAUCUCUUCUUUCCUAACCUUUGUGACCCCAGAAGAUGGUUUUUCCAGAUGUAAUUAGAACAGGCGAGCAUAAUCGAUGUGCUUGAGAGACCUGAGCACCUUUCUGCUGUGGUAUAGUAAACAAGGACAAGGGACAAUAGGCUAUGUUGUUCUCUUGGUAGACAAUUAUCAUUUGCUAAUUAUAUUCUAAUAAGCAUGAUCCUUGUAGAAAAGGAUAUCUGUGAUUUCGUUUAAUAAAUGUUCUUGAAACACUGAGGCAAACAGUUUUAGAGUGUACUUGUGUAUGAACUGCAUUUGAAUAGAUUUGUGGUAACAUUGAUUAUACCCGUAUGCACUGUACAAUCAACCACAAAUGAAAUAUGCCGAUGCACACAUGUGCUAGGACUUGAUCUGUCCUCUUCUCCUAGUGUGAUGGUUUAACUAGCUUUUUAAACUCCUCUUUGCCGUGGAACCAUGGUCUGUACAAAAUCCGUAAGGCUUAAAAAAAUUGCAAGGAAUAUAGAACAAUGGCUAAACUAUUCUAGUUCACAUUAGAUGUAAUCUGCUGGUGUGGAUUUAUCUGUCAUCUUAAGCAGGCACUCAGGAGAAGAAUGGUACCCAGAAUAGUUUUCCAACAUGAUUUUAAUUUUAUUCAUAGGGAGAGAUGAUAUAUAUGCAGAUCUUAUAUUUCAGCUACUACUCCACCUCUUUUCAUAUGUGACAUAUCCCACAAUUAUGAAAUAUAAAAUCACAUCAGAACUCACCAAAAUAUUCUUUAUUAAACUUCUUAAGUCCUGAAGUGAAAUCCUUCGCUGACAGCAGACCAUAUUCUGUAUUAAUAAUGGUUUGGAAAUGAUGGUCUUUUACAGUAGCGCAGGCUAGAUA